Molecule: ribosomal RNA, 313 nt
Filed under: uncultured eukaryote
Lineage: Eukaryota
Description: partial 18S ribosomal RNA
Rfam family: Eukaryotic small subunit ribosomal RNA
Source: RNAcentral
CCCUUAGAUGUUCUGGGCUGCACGCGUGCUACAAUGGCGCUUGCAACAAGUCUUGCCAACCCGAUAGGGUGAGCGGAUCUUUGAAGAGGCGUCGUGAUCGGGACAGUUGAUUGCAAUUAUUCGACUCGAACGAGGAAUUCCUUGUAAUCGCGAUUCAUCAUAUCGCGCUGAAUACGUCCCUGCCCUUUGUACACACCGCCCGUCGCUCCUACCGAUUGAUUGAUCCGGUGAAUUACAUAGAAUUUUGCGUUUUACAUGACGGAAGACGAAGUGUUUUAAACCUUAUCAUUUAGAGGAAGGAGAAGUCGUAACA